RNAcentral lists this long non-coding RNA (27928 nucleotides) under Nicotiana tabacum (common tobacco). RNAcentral's name for it is "long non-coding RNA (NTAB_LNC002877)". The record is from RNAcentral. Lineage: Eukaryota; Viridiplantae; Streptophyta; Magnoliopsida; Solanales; Solanaceae.
GGAACCAUAUCAGAUUUUUAAGGCAAAAAACCCUAGCUAUCUCUCACUUCUGAUCUCUCUAAACUUAGAGAGAUCACCCGCAUUCUCUAAAAUUGGAGACUCUUAUUUCUCUCUAUCUCACGCCUGUCAACCCCCCCUCCCUUUCUCGCCGGCCAACCGUCGGAUUUGACUACCGGUGGGUCUGGUCGGCCACCACUGCUACCACCUCACCUCCCUGCUCACAUCUCUCUCACUUCUCUCUCUGUUGCGACGAACUCACUGAAAAUCGGUGAACUUGCACAUGGCAUUUCAGAUCUAACAAGAUCUGGCUAUAAUUGAUGUUAAAUCUGGCGACCUCUAUGAAACUAACACCGCUUGACCGAAGAACAUUUUUUGAUAAUCUUUUGAAUGUUGAGGCGUCGUUCCGAUACUUUUGCCGUUGAAGCGGCGUCAUUGACUCUAGAACUCUCUAGAUCUGGCCAUUUGUCCAUUUUAUGCUAGUUGCCUGAAUUUUAGUUACCAGAACCUUGUUUUCAGUGACCCUCACAUUUUUCGGCGAGCUUCACCAGCGGACGACGCCAUUGUUUCUUUUGGUACUAUUCGGGUGUUUGUUUUCCCUAUUGUUAUGGUCGAUGGCUCCUGUCUCGGUAUUAUUGGACUUCGUCCCUAUGAUGUUGGUUUUUAUGUUGGUUGGACUCUUGAUUUUUUUCGGCAAUCUCUUUGGUCGCUAUUUUGUGUUAUUGUUUAUGUUCAUGGAUGUUAAUGUUUUAAUUCUUUUGGUUGACUUAUCUUUAUGGUGAUGGAUGUUGUCGGCUUUAACUCCACUGUGGCUCCCUCUACUAGCCGAAAAUUCGUUGAUGAUUUUAAGACUAUUUGCCUCUUUAAUAAUAGUAUCUUUGUUUAGGCUCAGUUAUUUCUUGUCCACGUUGUCGAUGCUGUUGUGCGGAUGCUUUAACAGUAUUCAUGUCGUGGAUUUUGUUGUGAUAUGCUCGAUGGGAAUACUUUUUAGAGGUACGAUGCCCCGAAUGACUCUCAGAUUUGGCCUGAAAUAACGAGCCGAUGGUGAUAAACAUCGAAAAGGAAAAAGAUGAGAAUUUGACGAACCAAUAGCCCUUCGAAAAUACGACACAAUUAGCUAUCUAGUCGCAACCAAGGCGGUUAUCGUUAUCAUGUCUAGUCGGAUAUUACAUAUAUCUGAGCCUCCUAUAUUAUUUUUCUAAACUAUUUUCCAAUAAAUAAACAAUUUUCCAAAAGCAUUUUCAAACUAUUUUCAAAAACAAUCUUUCAAAAAUAUUUUCAAAUAAAAUCAUUUCAAAAUAAAUUAGUUUAUUAUUUACUUUAUAUUUUACUAAUAAUUUCCCUUCUUUUGUCUUGCGAGGUACUAUCACACGAGGUUGCUUUCGGAAGAUGAUACCCGAAGACGAAAAGACAAAUCCCCGUCAAGCCUCCCAUUUCGUAACUUCCCUUCUUAGAUGUACAAAACGCAAGUACAGUGAAACCGUAGAUAGAUAUCAUAUUUGCUAGUUUACUUGAUGUUUACAUAUUUGCCAACACUUCGGUUGUGUUGCAUCUAGUUAAUAAUCCGGUCAACUUAAGAUAUUAUGUGCUAGAUAAUUUUGCGAAACUUGUACGCAGAUUUAGUAUGUCAGAUAUAUUUAUAACUCAUUUGAUUAAUUAGGAUUAGUGUACACCUAGUUAAUUAAUUGAGUUAAUAAAAUGAAAGGCGUGUCAUUUCCUUGUCAAAAUAGGCGACUUUACCUCUUUACAACUGCAUUAACAUGAUCUUUCUUUUAACCAAUCUCUUUGUAAAUUAUUUUUGACUAUCUUACUUCAAAUAGACAUAACUUGUAAAAGCAUAAAUGAGUCUACCAUAUGUAGGAUUAAUUCAACUAUUGCAUACACAUGGGUCUAACUUGAUGACAAUGUUCUUUAUGGGCUUUUAUGAUAUUUUGUACAGGGUUGGUAAUACUCUUAGCCUCUUUAUAUAUUUGUUAUCUACAUAUGCAUUUUAUAUUUACUUAUCUGUUCAUUCAAUUCUUUUGAACCAAGCUCUAGUUGCUUUCUUGUAUGGUCUUAAUUUUCUUUUGUUAUAAAAAUCAAUAUUCCUUUAUACUCAUACACUCUUGACAAAACGUUUUACGUUUUAUUCUUUAUAUAUUUAGUCAAGUAUUUUAGUCAAGUAUUUUAGUCAAUUACAAAACACUUACUCAUUUUUGAAGAUAAUUUUCUCCAUUAUUUAUUUAUUUUUUACAGAUUUUCUUGUAUAUUUAAUACAACUCAUUGUAGUAAUUAUUUGACUUUAAUCAUAAAAUAACUUCUUCAAGUUUAUUCAAACUCUUUUAGAACGUUUCACUUGUUGAUAUACAUUACUUAUAUUUGAUUUAAUUACUCCAUUGUUAUAUGUAAGAUUUAUGUGGAUAAUUUCCUUUUUAUACUCCCCUAUUCAUGACAACUUUCCCUACUUUAGUCGAUCAUUUCUUUAAGCUAAUUGCUAAUUGUUUUAUUUAAAAUAAUUCUUUACCAUUUUAUUAUAUGCGUUCAAUUAAGAUCAAUCUUGUACAGUCAAAUCACUCGACGUUAAUUGUAAAUUGGGAUCUCCUUUAUACCUUAUUUAGAACCCAAUUCUUUCUAUCGAACUCCGAAAACGAUUUUUUUUUGUUCAUUAAUUUACUUUGCAUAUCUUACUGUAUAUAUUUUACCACAAAUGAAAUGAUCAUACUUUGAAUAUUUAUCCACCUCAUGACAUUGCAUUGGCUACUCUUUGAUAGGAAUUCUUUUUGAAAUAACUAAUCAUUCUUUUCAACCUUCCCUCCCUUAUUUGAUCGAGUCAACCAGAACUAUAUUUUUGUGGAUAUUGAGGGAUGCCUAACAACUUUCCCUCGAGAUAACUUGAACCCUUACCUAUAAUCUCAACAGUUUCGCAGAGUACUAUAAGUUGUAAUUUAUUUCGUCUUGUGUAAAAUAGGGUGCAACAACAUGGCGACUCUACUGGGGAUACUUCAGUUUCUAAUCACAGCGGACUUGAUCAAUUACUUGAGGGAUUACAGGUUCUCUGAUACUCCAACUUCUAUUCUUUCUGUCACAUGCUUCAACUCAUAUAUUCACUGCUUCAAGUUUUAUACUCUUUGUUUCAAGCUGUAUAUUCAUUGCUUUAAGUUGCAUAUUCUUUGUUUCAAGUUGUAUAUUCUUCAUCGCAUGCUUAAAGUAGUCUAUUCUUUGUCAUCCGCUUCAAGCAGUAUAUUUUGUUAUGCGCUUCAAGCGGUAUAUUAUUGUUAUGCGCUUCAAGCAGUAUAUUCUUGUUGUGCAUUUCAAGCGGUAUAUUCUUUGUCAUAUGCUUUAAGUGGUAUAUUCUCUGUCAUCUGUAUCAGGCGGCGUAUUCUCUGUCAUGCUCAUGUUGUAUAUGCUCCCCACAUAUCUAAGUUGUAUAUUCUUGUUUAUCCUAAAAAAUGGAGAAAAAUUAAAUUUAUUAGUGGUUUUAAGGAUACGUGGAUUUAUUCAAUACAAACGGUAAAGAAUGCUAGAAUAAACAGAUAAGAGAUGUAAUAAAUUAUCAUACCUCUUGAAAAUAAAGGGGGGUGAUUCUGGACUCGAGGGCAACCUCAAUGAAUAAUCAGACCCCCCUUUAUAUAGUAAGGGAGUCCUACUCUAGGUACAAUUCUAUAAAAGGCAAAAAAUCUUCCGUUUAACUAAUCAUCGAAUUUCCGCCGGUACGUGCCAAGAUCCACGUCGCGAUACCCAGCUGGUCAGGGAUAUCACGACCUCCCGUUAAUCAUGUUCGGUUGCCCAAUAAUGCUCUCUGAAUUCUUUUAAGAUUUGGACCGAUACCAGGGUCACGGCCCCGAUAUUCUUGAGGGCGGGCAUCGUGCUCCCAGAACCUGUGUCAAUGAGUCCCUUACCUCGAUUUCGGCUCCUUGUCAUCACGUCCCUUACUCAAUUUAUUUUAUCAAAAAUCGGGCUGUUUUAUGAGUCCGAUUUCACCCGUAUACAGAUAGUCCCCUCGUUUCUCGGAGAGUAAGUUUUACGGAAACGACGAGGAAUGACAUGAGUUCUUCGAUCUCUUCUCCAACACGCUGCGACACGAAAUGAUAAAGAAACCGCAAUGUCCCAUCAGAAGCGUCAUAAUGACCCCCAACGCGUAUCAGUCGUCAGCAGGCCACUCCUGGAUGUGAAACAGCGCGAAUCCCCUAUAAAUACCUCUUCUUUCAUUCAUCUUUUACUUUUGACCAAGCUUCUACCUUCGAUCCUUCAAGAUAUCAUUGCCUUCCUUCAUUCUUCAAUAUUCUUACCUUCGUUCUUCAAAUUGCAACCUUUCUUUUACCCCUCACUUAAGCCAGUGUUCUUGAUUUUCUUAGCAAGUUCUCACCCUUCAUCUUCUCAUUCUCCUUCAUACCUUCAAACCUUUUUAUCAAGAUAAAAAAAAUGGCAAAGAUUUCCAAGACCGUUCCCCAGAAAGAUUCUCCUUCUUCUACGCAGCCGACCACUGAGGUCAAGGAGACCCCGCUCCUGAUGUGGUCAUCCUCGAGAGGUCCGCUCCGAGCGUGGCCACUGAUGAAUCGGUAGCUGAGCCCCUCUUGAAAAUGUUUGGGGGGGGGGGUGUUCGGUUAAUGAUGAAUUUAAGGUCGAAAAGCCCUCUUCGAUUCAAGGCCGAUGCGAGGUGGUGUCACUGUACAUCUGCUCCAUUACUAAGGCCGUUCUUCCUGCAGUUCAAAAAGACUGUGACUGGGUGGAUAAGGAUGUAGUGAUUCUCGGGCCCGAUGACGAUAUCACUACCCAUGUUGAAGGAUAUAUGAGUAUUUACACUUAUCUCUUUUACAUUGGGCCCGGUGUACCCGGUCAUCUUGGACUUUUGUAGGAGGUACGACGUAUGCAUCUGCCAAAUCCACCCAUCGCUGUGGAGGAUUGUGAUCCUCCUCUGAUUCUUUGUGAACAAAAUCGAUUCAUGUACUGUUCACCAUCGAUCAUCUACUCUGCUUGUACAGUCCCCGAAUCUUACGGGAGGGAAUGAUAAAGCUUGUACGCUGGGCCAGCAAAGCCCCAUUUUCAAGUAUCGACGAGGACCAGAAUUGGGGUUGGCAAGGAUGCUUUAUCCAGGUGAGGACCUCCGACCUGAUACCUGCCCAGUGGAGGCCACUCCCCGAGAAGUACAACGUAUCACGUAACUAUAACUCUUAUAAAACAUUGAUUUUAUGUUUUAUCUUCACUUUUCUAAUUGGUGUUUGUUGUGGAGCAACCCUCGCUCGAGUCCUAAAUGCCAUUACUCGGCUCAAGGAGUGGAUCAGAGGCAUUUGUUCGCAGAUUCCUUAUGCCGAAUGCUCAUGGCACGAGCUCUCGAAGAGCCGCUGGGAGGCCCAUUCUCACGGUAAGAUUCUACUCUCCGAGUAAGUAGCACUAGACUUUCUUUUUCAAUACUAUGUCCUCAUUGCUUCUCUUCUUUUUUGCAGGCUUGCCUAAGACCAUCGAGCUUAGGCCCUUGGUAAGAGGUGAGUACCUGCCCGAUGAUCGUUCUGCUUCGGGGCAGCCCAGAGCCAUAGCAGGAGAGAAGAAAAGGAGGAGGGCCCCGAGUUCCCCUAGCUCAAAGAAGAAGAAACCAAGGAGAAGGUUGGCUCGUAAGCCAAAGGAAAGGUCCAGCUCCCGAGUGCCUGAUUCAAACUCACUCUUCUGGUUCAGGGACGAGCCCGAGGAGGACUAUCUUUUGUGGCCCGCGAGCCGUCCGUUCCCGAGGAACAGAUGGCAACCAAGGGGGAAACAAUGGAGGCUAAUCCCCCUCAAGUUCAUGAGGCUGGUACAUAGGCGAGGGUCGAGACCUCUCGAAUCGUGGGCUUCGCCCAGUGUUAUAGAAAUUUUAGGAUCGCUCUCAUUCACAGAACCCAUGUUCGAUGAAGCCCGAGUGAUGAAGGAGCAAUCCAAUGAAGUGGCUCAUGGAGCGGACGAUCCCCUUUGAUGCUUCUUUGAUGGUAUAGACUCAACCGCCCUAGAAGACUUCUUCGGGUUGAUGAAUGCACAGUCUUUCGCUCAGUCUUUGAUGAGUGCACAGCCAUCUGGGCCCAGUCAGGGCAACAGGGGACCCCACCAACAUGGUCGACCUGGAGGGAGAUUCCAGCACUAGCGGAGGCCCCCAUGCCCUAAAUGUGGAAGGAUGAAUUUUGGGGUCUGCCUCAUGGACCUACAUAUAUGCUACGGGUGCGAUAUGAGGGGUCACAUUCAGAGGGACCGUUGCUCGUCCCGCCGGAUCAUGGGAAAAGGUGCGGCGCAACCAGCUAGUUCUGCAGCUACUACAUCCACAACACAUCCUUCAGCUCGAGGCACCCCAGCACCCGCAGGGCAUGGUGCAGCUAGAGGUGAUGCACAGAGUUCGGGAGGACCCAACAAAUUUUAUGCUAUGCGGAGGCGUCGAGAUUCAGAGGCUUCUCCAGAUGUUGUCACAGAUAUAUUGAUUGUCCAAUCCCAUGAUGUAUAUGCUCUUAUUGAUCUCGGUUCCACGUUGUCCUAUGUCACUCCUUAUGUCGCUAUGAAAUAUAGGAGAUGUCUUUGGGUGCUGCUAAAGAAAGUGUCUAAACACAUUCAGGGACCAUGGUUGGUCACCGAGGACUUCAGCUUCAUGAGCCGUUCUCUGUAUCUACUCCGGUUAGCGAGUCUAUUGUGGCUGCGAGGGUUUAUAGGGAUUAUGUUGUCACACUGCAUGUUUGGGACACCCUGGCCGAUCUCAUUGAAUUGGGGAUGGUUGAUUUUGAUGUAAUAAUGGGGAUAGACUGGCUUUAUUCAUAUUUUGCUAAGCUUGAUUGUCGAACCAGGACUGUUAGGUUUGAAUUUCCAAAUGAGUCGGUGAUUGAAUGGAAGGGGGAUGAUGUGGUAUCGAAGGGUAGGUUUAUUUCUUACCUUAAGGCCACGAAGAUGAUUAAAAAGGGGUGUAUCUACCAUUUGGUUCGGGUUACGGACAUCGAUGUUGAGGUACCUACACUUGAGUCCGUGCCUGUUAUGGGUGAAUUUCCGUAGGUCUUUCCGUAUGAGCUCCCUGGGAUCCCACCAAACAGGGAGAUUAAUUUUGGGAUUGAUGUGAUGUCGGGCACGCAGCCUAUAUCUAUUCCACCCUACAGAAUGUCACUAGCAUAAUUGAAUGAGCUAAAAGAACAAUUGAAGGAUUUGUUAGAGAAGGGUUUCAUCCGGUCGAGUUUGUCGCCUUAGAGUGCACCGGUCCUCUUUGUAAGAAUGAAAGAUAGGUCAUUAAGGAUGUGUAUUGACUUUCGGCAGCUCAACAAGGUCACGAUCAAGAAUAAGUACCUACUGCCAAGGAUAGAUGAUUUGUUUGACCAAUUGCAGGGUGCUAAGUAUUUCUUCAAGAUUGAUUUAAGAUCCGGGUAUCACCAACUGAAGAUCAGGGAGCAGGAUAUUCCGAGAACAGCUUCCAGGACCCGGUAUGGGCACUUUGAAUUUCUGGUAAUGUCUUUUGGGCUACCAAAUUCCCCGACAACUUUCAUGGACCUUAUGAAUCGAGUCUUAAAGCCUUUUCUUGACUCCUUUGUGAUAGUGUCCAUUGACAAUAUUCUGGUAUAUUCAUGAAGUCGAGAGGACCAUGUCGAUCAUCUCAGGGCAGUUCUACAGACUAUAUAUCUACACAAGUUGUAUACGAAAUUUUUUGAAAUGUGAAUUUUGGCUUGAAUCUGUUACAUUCUUGGGUCAUGUCGUCUCCAGAGAAGGAUAUAAGGUUGAUCCUAAAAAGAUUGCAGUUGUGAAGAAUUGUCCUAGACCUACAACUCCAAUAGAGAUUCGCAGUUUCUUGGGCUUAGCCGGUUAUUAUAGGAAAUUUAUGGAGGGGUUCUCCACUCUUGCCUCUCUGUUGACUAAAUUGACGUAGAAGGCGAUUAUGUUCCAAUAGCCAGAUGCUUGUGAAAAGAGCUUCCAAGAGUUGAAAUCAAGAUUAACUACGACACCGGUGUUGACCCUACCAGAGGGUACGUAUGGGUUUGUGGUAUAUUGUGAUGCUUCAAGAAUCGGACUUGGGUGUGUAUUAAUGCAACAUGGCAAGGUGAUAGCUUAUGCUUCUAGGCAACUCAAGAAUCAUGAAAACAACUAUCCAACACAUGACUUAGAGCUUGCGGCGGUGGUAUUUUCAUUUAAGAUUUGGCGUCAUUAUCUAUGCGGGGUCCAUGUGGAUAUAUUCACGGACCAUAAGAGCCUCCAAUACAUUUUCAAAUAGAAUGAAUUGAAUCUAAGUCAUAGAAAAUGGCUUGAGUUACUCAAGGAUUACGACAUCGAUAUUUUGUAUCAUCCGGGGAAGGCUAAUGUUGUAGUGGAUGAUCUUAGUGGGAAAUCUAUGGGCAGUUUGGCUCAAUUGGAGGCAUAUCAAAGGCCGUUGGAGAAGGAGGUUCAUCGGUUGUCUAGUUUUUGAGUUCGUCAUGCAGAUUCUAGUGAAGUAGGAGUGAUUGUGCAAAAUAGGGUUGAAUCAUCACUUGUUGUGGAAGUCAAGGAAAAGCAGUACAGUGACCCAUUGUUGGUACAGUUGAAGGAGAGGAUUCAUAAACAUAAGACCAUGGCCUUUUCUCUUGGCAUGGAUGAUGGUACACUAAGGUACCAAGGGCAACUAUGUGUUCCAAAUGUGGAUGAUCUCCGGGAAAGAAUCAUGAUCGAGGCUCACACUUCUAGGUAUUCGGUGCACUCGGGCUCUACAAAGAUGUAUCAUGAUCUUAAAGAAGUCUACUAGUGGAAUGAUAUGAAGAGGAUUGUAGCGGACUUUGUGGUGAGAUGCCCAAAUUGUCAACAAGUAAAGGCCGAACACCAACGGCCUGGUGGGUUGGCACAGAACAUAGAAAUUCCAAUGUGGAAGUGGGAAAUGAUCGAUAUGGACUUUGUGGUGGGACUACCUCGCGCGCCUCGUAAGUAUGACUCGAUUUGGGUGAUUAUGGAUUGACUCAUGAAAUCAGCUCACUUCUUACCUAUUAAGGCUACCGACACAGCAAACAGUAUGCUCAGAUGUAUAUCGAGAAAAUAGUCAGGUUGCAUGGCACUCCAGUUUCUAUUAUCUCGGAUCAAGGGGCAUAGUUCACAACUAACUUUUGGAAGAAAUUUCCGCAAGGUUUGGGUACUCAGGUGAAUUUUAGUAGAGCCUUUCACCCACAGACUGGCGGGCAGGCAGAGCGGACUAUUCAGAUGCUUGAGGAUAUAUUGCGCGCUUGUGUUCUUGACUUCAAGGGUACCUGGGAUGAUCAUUUGCCACUCGUAGAAUUUGCCUACAACAACAGNNNNNNNNNNNNNNNNNNNNNNNNNNNNNNNNNNNNNNNNNNNNNNNNNNNNNNNNNNNNNNNNNNNNNNNNNNNNNNNNNNNNNNNNNNNNNNNNNNNNNNNNNNNNNNNNNNNNNNNNNNNNNNNNNNNAGGUCUCCCAUUGGGUGGGGAUAAUUUUGGUAUGGUUGGACUCCUAACGGAAUAGGUGUUUGGAAUUUGUGAGUUUGGUCGGGUUCUAAGGUUGUCACGACCCCAAUUUCCCCACCUUAGGAUCUCGUGAUGGAACCUAGUCUCUAAGACUAGGUAAGCCUAACAUUCAUUGAUAGCUUAGCAAGAUUUAACAACUAAGAUAAUAAGAUAAUUCGUUAAAACUCAUAAUAACUCAAAACGGAACAUCUAUAACAUAAUUCCCAAAACCGAUGGAACUGAGUCAUAAGCCUUACGAAAUAAUCUAAGAAUCUCUAAUACAACAUUGUCUCAAUAGAAGAUAAAUAGUAGUAAAAGUAAUGACUGAAGGUGACUCCGAGGCCUGCAAACGCCAAGCAGGUAUACCUUGAAGUCUCCGAAAUGUAUGGUCAAAUCACUAAUGCCUAGCCCGAGCUGAGUACACCACAAUGGUACUCAGUAUGUAUCAAACCUAACCUCGAUAUAUUAGUGAUGAGUUCAGGUCAAGACACCUACUUGGAUAAGAGAAACUGAACAAGGUAUAGUAUAGGCAAAUAAUGGAAGACGAGGAAAUAAAUGACUAUAAAGCAGUUCAAUAAAGUAAGCUAACAAUGGAAUUUAAAACAAUAAAGGCAACAAGGAGUGAACACAUGGUAAGAACAUCAAGAAUCAAUACGGACGAGUACAAGUAGGGAAAAUAAAGAGAUAACAAAACUGUUCAACCAACACGCCUCUUUAACAUAGAAUGUACAAUAAGAAUCACAACUGAGGUACCGCCUCAUAUCCACUUUUCACAAUUCAAAAUCACAACAUUUCCUUAUACCGCCGCGUGAGCCUUACAUUAAGAUAUUUUGAAAAGAUUUUUUCCGAAAUAGCUACACGCACUUUAGCCCUUUUAUGUCGCCGGGUGACUUCAAGUAAUUUCCUUACUAGCAACUUGCACAUAAAUUCCCUCCUUAUGUCGCGCACGCACAUUAACCCCUAUCCUUAUACCGCCGCAUGCGCAUCAAUAUCACAACACAAUAACAACUCACACCACAAGUGCCCAUAUGCCACAACUUGCCAAAAUCAACAAUACCAAAGUUACCACAACGUAUAGCCCAGGGCUCAAUCACAAUGUGAACAAGAAUCUCCAUAAUAACAAAGUGAGUGAGAAUUUCUCAACAAGGAAAGACAUCUCAAUAAUCAACAACUUCAAACAAGAAUAACCCGGCACUAAAGGAGGUGACAUAACAAUAAGAGAGAUAGCAAAGGCAACUAAGGCAUAUAAGAGCAUGUUUGACAAUAAGAGAUAGAGUAGGUGAUACAACAUCAAGUAAAGCAUGUAAGAAAAAUUUAACAAUGGAAGAUCUAACAUGAUAUUUCAACUUCUAAUUAGAUACAUCAAAGAGUCUAAGAGUCUAAACCGGUCAAAAUACCCCAUAUAAGCCUGUGUACAUACUUGUCACCUCGUGCACACGUCUUUCACAUAACCCAAAUAACGUAAAUCAACCCAAGUCCUAAGGAGUAGUUCGCCCACAAAAAGUUAGGCAAGAUACUUACCUCAAACAAGCUAAAUCAACCCACUAGUAAGCCUUUUUCGUGCAAAUUCAACUUCGGAUGGCUCGAAUCUAGCCAAAAUAACUUAAUACCAUAAAUACAAACUAUAGAAAAUGAUUUCGGAUAACAAAGUUGCAAUCUUUAAAGAAAAUCAUAAGGUCAACUCAAAAGGUCAACCCCGGGCUUGCACCUCGGAACCUGACCAAACUUACAAAAUCUGAAUACCCAUUCUGAUACGAGUCCAACCAUACAAAAAUUACCCAAUUCCGACCUCAAAUCGACCUUCAAAUCCUCAAUUUAUAGUUUAAGACAGUUUUCACAAAAUCCCCAAUUUCUCCAACUCAAAUCACUAAUUAAAUGAUAAAAACAAUGAUGGAAUCAUGAAUAAUAAGCAAAUCCGAGCACAAAAAAAACACUUACCCCGAUCCAAUCCUUGAAAAUCCACUCCAAAUUCGCCCAAAACCGAGCUCUCUAACUCAAAAUAUGAAAAAUGGAAUAAACCCUCGAUUCACUCUUAUUUCUGCCCAGGCUUUCUGCACCUGCGGCAAUUCUGUCGCAUUUGCGACUCCGUAUCUGCAGAAAAUCCAUCACAGAUGCGGCUUCCACUAAAGGUCAGAAACUCCGCAUGCGCGCCCGCUCUUGUGCAACAGUCACCGCAGAUAUAAGUGCGCAGAUGUGCAACCGCAGAAGCAGGAAAAGCUCUUCCAAACAUACUAUCAAGUCCCAAAAUACUACACGAACCUACUCGAGGCCUUAAAUCACAUCAAACAAUAUCAAAUCCACGAAUCACACCCCAAUUUAAGCCUAUUGAAUUAAUUAACAUUCAACUUUUAAAACUAAUGUCGAAUCAUAUCAAACCAACUCUAAAUGAGCUCAAAUUUUGAAUGCAAGUCCCUAAUGACACAACAGAUAUAUACCAACUCCUGAAAUCACAAUCCGGACCUGAUAUCAAUAAAGUCAAUCCCUCGGUCAAACCUAUCAACCUUCAACUUUCUAUCUUUUGCCAAAAAGCACCAAUUCAACCUACGCAACUCCAAAUCAACUUCUGGACAUACACCGAAAUCCAAAAUCACCAUACAAAGCUAUCAGAACCAUCAAAAUUCCAUUCUGGAGUCGUCUACACAAAAGUCAAACUCCGAUCAACUCUUCCAACUUAAGCUUCAAACCUUGGGACUAAGUGUCCCAAUUCACUCCGAAACUCACCCGAAACCAAACCAACCACUCCGGAAAGUCACAUAGCCACAAUUGAACUAGAGGAGGCAAUAAAUAGUGGAACGGGGCUAAAAUACUCAAAAUGACCGAUCGGGUUGUUACAUUAUCCCCCUCUUAAAACAAACGUCCAUCCUCGAACGAGUAUAGAGACAUACCUGAAGUGUUAGAAGGUGAGGAUAACGGAUACAGAUAUCAUGCUUGGUCUCCCAAGUCACCUCCUCAACUGGUUGACCCCUCCAUUGAACCUUCACUGAAGCAAUGUUCUUUGACCUCAACUUUCGGACCUGUCUGUCCAAGAUGGCCACUAGCUCCUCAAAAUAAGUCAAAUCCUUGUCCAAUUGGACUGAGCUGAAAUCUAACACAUGGGAUGGCUUUCCGGAGCAUGGAAACAUGGAACACCAGGUGAACUGCCGAUAAGCUGGGUGGAAAUGCAAGCUUGUAGGCCAUCUCCCCCACUCCCUCAAGGAUCUCAAAAUGACCAAUAUACCUAGGGCUCAACUUGCCCUUCUUCCAGAAUCUCAUCACACCCUUCAUGGGUGAAACCCACAGCAAAACUCUCUCCUACCAAAAAUGCUACACCACAAACCUUCUGGUCGGCAUAACUCUUUUAUCUAGACUGUGCUUUACGAAGCUUGUCCUGAAUCAACUUGACCUUCUCCAAGGCAUCCCGAACAAGAUCAGUACCCAACAACCUAGCCUCCUCCGGCUCAAACCAACCAACUUGAGAACGACACUGCCUCCCAUAUAAGGCCUCAUAAGGAGCCGUCUGAAUACUGGAUUGUUAGUCGUUGUUGUAGGAAAACUAUACAAGCGGAAAGAAUUGAUCCCAUGAACCCCCAAAAUCAAUAACACAGGCACGUAGCAUAUCCUCUAAGAUCUGAAUGGUGCGCUCAUACUGCCCGUCCAUUUGGGGCUAAAUGUUGUACUCAACUCGAUCCGUAUGACUAACCCACGCUGCAUAGCUCUCCAAAAAUGCAAUGUGAAAUGCGUGCCUUGAUCAUAGAUAAUGGACACCGGCACACCAUGAAGACGAAAAAUCUUACAAAUAUAGAUCUGAGCCAGCUGCUCUGAAGAAUAGGUAGUCACCAACAGAAUAAAAUGUGUCGUUUGGUCAACCUAUCCACAAUAACUCACACUGUGUCAAAUUUCUUCAAGGUCAAGCCCAACAACGAAAUCCAUGGUAAUACUCUCCCACAUUCACUAGGGAAUCUCAAGUCUCUGAAGAAAUCCACUCGGCCUCUGAUGCUCGUACAUCACCUGCUGACAAUUCAAGCACCAACCCACAUACUUCACAUUAUCUUUAUUCAUUCUUCUCUAACAAUAAUGCUGCCUCAAAUCUUGAUAGAUCUUAGCGGCACUCGGAUGAAUAGAGUACCGCGAACUGUGGGCCUCCUCAAGAAUCAACUCACGCAACCCAUCCAUAUUGGGCACACAUAACCGACCCUGCAUCCUCAACACCCCAUUAUCUCUGAUAAAAACCUCCUUGGCAUUGCCAUGUUGUACCGUGUCCUUAAGGACAAGCAAAUGGGGGUCAUCAUAGUAAUUAUCUCUGAUGCGCUCAAAUAAAGAAGACCGAGAAACCACGCAAGCAAGAACCCUACUAGGCUCCAAAAUAUCUAAUCUCACAAACUGAUUGGCCAACGCCUGAAUAUCCAAUGCUAGCGACCUCUCACCAACUGAAAUAUAUGCAAGGCUACCCAUACUCUCAGCCUUUCUACUCAAGGCAUCAGCUACUAUAUUGGCCUUCCUAGGAUGGUAUAGAAUAGUGAUAUCAUAGUCUUUCAACAGCUUUAACCACCUCCGUUGCCUCAAGUUCAGGCCCUUUUGCUUAAACAAGUACUGUAGACUCCGAUGAUCUGUGAAUACCUCGCAAGACACGCCGCCUCCAAAUAUUCAAUGCGUGAACUAAAGCUGCCAACUCUAGAUCAUAAACGGGGUAGAUCUUCUCAUGGGACUUCAACUGGUGCGAAGCAUAAGCAAUCGCCCUAUACUCCUGCAUUAAGACUCACCCAAUACCAAUCCGCGAUGCAUCACAAUAAACCAUAUAUGAACCCGAUGCUGAGGGCAAAACUAGAACUAGAGCUAUGUUCAAGGAAGUCUUGAACUUCUGAAAGAUCUCCUCACACUUGUCAAACCACUGGAAUUGAGCACCCUUCUGGGUCAAUCUAGUCAAAGGUGCAGCAAUAGACGAUAGACCCUCUACAAAACAGCGAUAAUAUCCAGCCAAACUAAGGAAUCUCCGAAUCUCAGUAGCUGAAGACGGUCUAGGCCAACUCUGAACUGCCUCAAUAUUCUUCGGAUCUACCUUGAUCCCCUCGCUCGACACCACAUGACCCAAAAAUGCCACCGAAUCAAGCCAGAAUUCACACUUUGAGAACUUUGCAUACAACUUCUUCUCCCUCACAGUCUGGAGCACGAUCCUCAAAUGUUGCUCAUGAUCUUCCCGGUCGCGGGAAUACACCUAGAUGACGUCAAUGAAUACAAUAACAAAAGAGUCAAGAUAUGACUGGAAUACACUAUUCAUCAUGUGCAUAAAUACUGCUAGGGCAUUGGUCAUGUCACCCCCCGACCUCGGGGAGCGCGACUGGCACUCAACCGAGAUAACCCGGCCGAGCAAGCGUACUAGAUUGCCUUCUACCCAAAUCANNNNNNNNNNNNNNNNNNNNNNNNNNNNNNNNNNNNNNNNNNNNNNNNNNNNNNNNNNNNNNNNNNNNNNNNNNNNNNNNNNNNNNNNNNNNNNNNNNNNNNNNNNNNNNNNNNNNNNNNNNNNNNNNNNNNAUUACUAUCUUGACUUUCCCAAUACCAAUACACAACCCACACCAUGUCUACAGAUCUUCUAAUAAAUACAAAAGAGAACAAUGAUAGUGCCGGAAACAAGGCUCCGACUAUAACUCAAAACAUAAUACAUACAGAACAAAAGAUGCACGACCCCGAAAUGAAGUGGUGCUCACCAAGUCAACUGGGAAGAGAGUGUACCGCUAUCACUGGUCAAUGCCUUCCGUUGUGGAACCACCUGCAUCCAUUAAAGAUGCAGCGCCAUCGAAAAAAUGGACGUUAAUACAUAUCGAAUAGUACUAGUAUGAAAACCAAACACCUAUGCAAGGACUUGAAAAUACAACAUGAAUAUGAUGAAUCAUGGUAACAAUAAAAGGCUUAGAUAGCCGUUAAAUAUAUAGCAAGUUUAUUAAGAGCUUUCAAUAACAUUUAUAAUUUUUUUUAAGUCGGGGAUCCUCUGCAACUACCUUUACACAAAGCGGCACAGCCGCCUCACCCCAAUGUAUGCGGGUGGAGGUGCAAUCACAAUACCAUAAACUCUACACAAAGAAGCCAUGUCUCCUCACCCCAAUGUAUGCGGGUGGAGGUGUAUUCACAAUACCACAAACUCUACACAAAGAAGCCUUGCCGCCUCACCCCAAUGUAUGCGGGUGGAGGUGUAUUCAUAAUACCACAACUCUACACAAAGCGGCCCUGCCGCCUAACCCCAAUGUAUGCGGGUGGAGGUGUAUUCACAAUACCACAACUCGACACAAAGUGGCCCCACCGCCUCACCCCAAUGUAUACGGGUGGAGGUUUAUUCAUAAUGCCAUACUUCGGAUUCCCAAAACGAUAAUAGUUUGUACAACAGAGUUCCCUUUCAAAUCAACCAUUUGUCACCUUUGGCCUUAGCAUGUGUGAGUUCAUAAGGUUUCAUCAUAUGAGAAAUAAGUGUUUAAUCACAUUGAUUUCAUACAAGAUCUUCUUCCCUAAAGGGGUAUAACAUAAUUAAGUCAAAAUAGAGAAUCAUUAACACACGAGGGUUCUAACACGUUAUGCCAAUCGGGAAUCAAUUUUACUAGUUUGAAUACCCCACAUCAAUAGCGUUCCAUGUUUGAACUUCACACGAAGGAGUUUUGUAAGAACACGGGAAUUCCAAUACCAAAAAAAAAGAGUUUAGCCUUCAUACCUCGAAAGAGCUUUUCAUAGUGCCACAAUAAUGUCCCAACACUCCUAAUGAUGCCAAUCUAUCAAGGAGGAGAGAAUUAUAAGCACGAUUAGAGGAAUUCACAUGGCAAGGGCUGUUACAACUAUGACCCGACCUUUCCCUCAGCUAAUUCAAUAACAAAACCACCCAAGAUUGUUCAAAAACUUCCCCGCAGUCUCUAUUAGCUCAUAUAUGUGAUAAAACCUACCCUCAUUACCCACAAUCAACCCAAACCUGAAUUUGAAGAAUUGGGGGAAGAAAUACUUACUUUUUUGAAGCCCUAGCAAGUUCCUUUUGAUGGAAUUCCAAGGUUUGAUCAAUGUAGAGUAGUGAAAUCUAUAGUCCUCUCUUUCCUCUCUCUAGAAUAGCUCUCUCCUCUCUCUAAAAUGUUAGUUAAUCCCCUAAAAAUGAACCCUUAGGCUAGAUAAAUGAAAUGGGGGUCAGUUUAUAAAAUUGGAAAAAUGGAGCCCCAACGCAGAUCUUCGAUUGCAUAUGCGACCGCAUAACACUUCUGCGGUCCGCAAAAUGGACUGCAUAAUGGCCCUCUAGAACUGGGUGUUUCUGCUACACUCUGUGAUAGGUCUGCAGUCCGUAGACCAAUUAUGGGGUCUCAUAAUGGACCACAGAACCUCCUUUCGAAAUUUCUCAUGCUGGAUCUGCGAUUGGAUCUGCGGCGCGCAAAACGAUUCUGCGGCCGCAUAAUGGGUCGUAUAAUGGUCCUCAAAAUUGGUAAAUCUAUCUGCUUCUAUCAGUGGCCAAUCUGCAGUCCGCAAACUUGUUCUGCGGUCGUAUAGUGGACUGCAUAAUUGCCAUGUUCUGCAAACUUUUUCCUUUAACUCCUCGACGCACUGAGCAACCCCAAAAGUCAAUUCUUCAUUAACCUCAAUUGUAUCAACCAGAACAAUGAGCGACAGAUCUCCAACCACCUUCUUCAACAUGGAUACAUGGAACACAGGGUGCACUAAAGACAUCUCUGGAGGUAGUUCAAUGUUGUACGCCACCCGACCAAUCCUCUAAAUGAUUCUGUAUGGUCCAACAUAUCUCAGACUCAACUUCCCUUUCUUACCAAACCGCAUUAUGCCCUUCAUGGGGGAAACCUUCAACAAUACCCAAUCAUCCUCUUUGAACUCCAAAUACCUGCGACGCACAUCCGAAUAGGACUUUUGAUGACUUUGAGCAGUUUCUAAUCGAUCCUUAAUGAUCUUAACCUUCUCCAUAGCCUGAUGCACGAGGUCUGGUCCUAUCAAUACCGCUUCCUCAAUCUCGUGCAAUACCACUCUUUCUCACCAAGCACAUGUACAAAAAUACCAAGAAAGGUAGAAAGCAUAUAGCUAACAUCAAACUCUCGAGUCCGCCAUUUCUUCAUACUCCAAAAGCAGACGAGCAACUCUACUUCUACUUAGCAGUCCCGGAAAUCGCGGUAAGUGGAGUCCUAGAUCGAGAUGAGCAAGGUACGCAAUUUCCUAUUUACUAUGUUAGUCGAACUCUAGGUGAGGCCGAGACCCGGUACCCACACUUAGAAAAUUUGGCGCUUUCCAUAAUAAGAGCCUCUAGGAAAUUAAAACCACAUUUUCAAUGUCACCCAAUUUGUGUAGUGACCACUUAUCCUCUUCACAAUAUUUUGCAUAAGCCCGAACUCUCGGGCCGAUGGCCAAAUGGGCCAUCGAAAUCUAUGGGUACGAUAUCGAGUAUCAACCCCGAACGGCCAUCAAGUCUCAAAUCUUAGUAGACUUCAUGGCCGACUUUACGCCAGCCCUCGUACCUGAGGUCGAAAAAGAACUAUUAUUAAAAUCGGGUACAACAUCAGGGGUGUGGACCCUAUUCACAGACCGCGCUUCAAAUGUGAAGGGGUCUGGGCUAGGCAUCGUUUUGAAAUUGCCCACGGGUAAUACAAUUAGACAGUCUAUCAAAACUUCCAAGUUAACUAACAAUGAAGCCGAGUAUGAGUCCAUGAUUGCAGGUCUCGAGCUAGCUAAGAGUUUGGGAGAAGAGGUUAUCGAAGCCAAAUGUGACUCCUUACAUGUGUUAAACCAAGUCAACGGAACCUUUGAGGUUCGGGAUGAUCGAAUGCAGAGAUACCUGGAUAAAUUACAGGUGACAUUACAUCAGUUUCAAGAAUGGACCCUACAACAUGUACCUCGAGAGCAAAACAACAAAGCCAAUGCCCUUGCAAAUUUGGGGUCAUCGAUUGAAGAUGACGAAAUUAGCACGGGGACUAUCGUGCAACUUUCGAGGUCAGUGAUCGAAGAAGGCCACGCCAAAAUAAACUCCACAAGUCUGACCUGGGAUUAGAGGAAUAAAAAUAUCGAGUACCAAAAGAACGGAAAGCUUCCGUCGGAUCCUAAGGAAUCAAGGACUCUACGUAUGAAGGCCACACGAUUCACAUUGGCCGAAGAUGGAACACUAUAUAGAAGGAUGUUCGACGGACCAUUGGCAAUACGUUUGGGUCCCGAAGACACCGACUACGUCCUACGGGAAAUUAACGCGGGAACUUGCGGAAAUCAUUCUGGUGCCGAAUCAUUGGUUCACAAAAUCAUCAUAGCAGAAUAUUACUGGGCCAAUAUGGAAAAAGAUACGAAGGAAUUCGUUUGAAAGUGCGACAAGUGUCAAAGAUAUGCGCCAAUGAUCCACCAACCCGAGGAGCAACUCCAUUCGGUCCUAUCCCCAUGGCCAUUCAUGAAAUAGGGAAUGGAUAUCGUUGGCCCUCUACCAUUGGCCCCAGGUAAAGCUAAAUUCAUUUUAUUUAUGACUGAGUAUUUCUCUAAAUAGGUUGAAGCAUAGGCCUUUGACAAAGUCAGGGAAAAAGAGGUUAUCGACUUCAUUUGGGACAACAUUAUAUGUCGAUUCGGGAUACCUACCGAGAUCGUAUGCGACAAUGGAAAACAAUUCAUCGGCAGUAAAGUAACAAAGUUUCUUGAAGACCACAAAAUCAAAAGGAUCUUGUCAAUGCCAUAUCACCCCAGCGGGAACGGACAUGCAGAGUCAACGAACAAAACCAUCAUUCAAAAUCUAAAGAAAAGGUUGAAUGAUGCAAAGGGAAAAUGGAGAGAAAUGUUGCCCGAGGUCCUUUGGGUGUAUCGAACAACGUCAAAAUCCAGAAUGGGGUAAACACCGUUCUUUUUAGUAUAUGGCGCCGAAGCUCUAAUCUCGGUCGAAGUCGGGGAACCUAGCGUCAGGUUUCGAUAUGCAACGGAAAAGUCGAAUCACGAGGCUAUGAAUACAAGUCUUGAAUUGCUAGAUGAAAAACUGGAAAGCGCCCUCGUUCGAAUGGCCGCACAAAAGCAACGGAUCGAAAGGUACUACAACCGAAGAGCUAAUUUUCGACAUUUUAUAACAGGGGACUUAGUAUUGAGAAAAGUCACCCUCAAUACCCAAAUUGGGAGGGACCGUAUCAGAUCCUCGAUAUCGUCAGAAAGGGAUCUUACAAACUCGGCACGAUGAACGACGAACAGUUGUCAAAUAAUUGGAACGUGUCACUCCUCAAACGAUAUUACUGCUAAGGUACAACCUUCUCCAUUUUUAUUUAUAUUUUAUACUAACCGUUUGCAGGUGUGUAAUCGAAAACAUCAAGGGAUCCUUCAAACGCAGUCCUUGGGUCUGAAAGCACCCGUUGCACUCUUUUUCCCUUAGACCGGUUUUAAUCCCAAAUGGGUUUUUUCGGCGAAGUUUUUAACGAGGCAACCAUUGUUCGUGCUAACUUAGAGCAAUUCAACAGUAUCUGAGGCUCCUUUACAAUCAACCUCGAAUACUAGGGGGCAUCACCCUCGGAUAGUUACAAGGAAAAUACUUCGUGUCGACAGGGUCUCGAUAGCUAAAUUUUGUAGAGGACCAAACGGUAAGAUGAACCAUGUCUGUGUAGAUUACUCGAGCCCUAAUGGCAAAACAUGUACGCAUGUAUAAUUUAUUGGAAGAAGUAUUUUCCCUUUCCAGAUGCCCCAUGUUUUAAAAUUUAUAAUUUGCAAUCUCAUACUUAUGAUCUAUGGUGGAAACUGGCUUAAGGGCCGAUCACAACUGAAGUUCAAACAAUUUGUCCGAUACUCGGGGACUGCCGUCCAAAAAACCAACACGAUCGAAUUACUAAACCUCGAGAUCGUAAGACCUUAAAAAGGCAAUCCUCGAAUUUAUGGGCCACGUCCACCCCACUCGGGGACUGAUACUUCGAACAAGUUUGAAGUAUAAUAGGGGAGCAAGCCCAAAAGGCGAAUCCCAAGUUAAAGGCUAUGGCCAAAUCAACACGGUUCAGAGACGUCCGAUUUUUGUUAUUAAAUAGGCCUUUGAAUAUUUUCAUAAAUCGGUUAAAAAAGGCUACCCUUGGCUAAAUUUCUAAGGGUCUCGAUAAUAUCGACCAUCGAAAACCCUAAUGGAUACAAAGGCGUUCGAACUCUCGAAUAAAUUCUUUAUUUUAUGUUAAGGCACUGCGAAAUAAAGGGUCUCGAUAAUAUCGACCAUUGAAAUUCCUAAUGGGUACGGAACCGUUCGAACUCUCAAACAAAUCCUUUAUUUUGUGUUAAGGUACAACAGAAUUUAUAUGAUUAAACGAUAAACUUAUCAAGCCGAAAAGGGGGAGAGAGCCACUUUUUUUCUAUGGCCGUGUUGGCCUAGUUUAAGAGCCUAAAAGGCCAGUUUAUUUUUGAGUUUGAAGAAAUCAUCCUCACUCAAUUAAAACCUAAGGGUCACCCUAUUCCGAGUUCGAGCAAGUACUCACUCGAUUAUAAAAACUACACUAGUCUGGUUUCGAUCAAAAUGCCUAAGCCUCAAACUUAUGAACAAAACUUUCACAAGGCAUAAAAGAAAUAAAGACAAGUCAGAAAGGAAAGAGAUAAUUAUAUAUAUAUGAAUAUUUACAAGGUCCGAUCGGGAUCCUAUACAAAAAAGAUCAAAAGUGAAAAAUCUUAAGGUUCCUGAUCUCCUCCGGGGGCAGCUUCUUCUACAUCGAGGUCCUCCCCAUUCUCGGACCCGCUCUUGCUACCAUCAUCAUCAUCGUCAUCGGAAGUGGCCAGCAAUCCAGCUUCGGCUUCAUGCUCUCUACCUUUGCUAUCUCAUUGGUAAGAUCGAAAUCCCGAGCGUGAAUUUCCUCGAGGGUUUCCUCCGAGAUUGGCAUUUGGUGAGUUCAGCAAUCCAAUAUGCUCGAGUUUGUGCGGACUCGGAUGCCUCUCUCGCCUGGACUUGAGCGACUUCAGUAUCCGCCCGAUAGACGACCACGAUCGCAUCCGCCUUGGCUUUUGCUUUUUCGGCUUCAGAUUUGGCCUUGGCAAGUUUAGAAGCCAACCGAGCCUCGAGCUCCUCUAUUUUCCUGGCUUGAGUCAAGCUCCUAUCUUUCAUGCCUUGAAGUUGACUUUCGACCUAUGAUAAUUGGGCUCGAUUAGUCUCUUUUUCUGCAGCAAAGUGGUCCAUACCUUUCUUCCACCCCAAGGACUCUGCCUUUAUUGUGUCGACCUCCUCACAGAACUGCUCGAUCCUCUCGAUUUUCUGUUGCAUCUGUGAGAUUCAAAAUAUUAGCCACCGUUCCCGAGUCGAGCCCAUGAGCUUUUAAGCUUUUCAUUACCUGCUCGAUCAGAUCUAUCUGAUCUUGGUGAGCCUUGGCCAACUCGGCUUGAAGAUCUCUGAUCUCUUCCUCUUUCUGACCACUAAGAAGUUUGAGGGCAUUUCUCUCAUCCGAAAGCCCUCGGAAGUCAGCUUCACAUCGGCUCAGCUCCGCUCGAGACUUGGAAAAUGCCUCCUGAUGUAGAGCUAAAGCCUAUAUAAAAAGAGAAAAAGUUAGGCAGAAAAUGGAAGAAUAUGACAUCAACAAAGGGAAUCAAGACUUACCCGAUUCAGGGCUCGUUGAGCCUCGAAGAAAUGACCCGAUGCGUCACUCGGGCCGGCAGCAUCCUCGAUACUUGUAAAUAAAUCACGGAAGGGGUCCUCUCCCUCAUGAGCUCCAUCCACCUCGAGGGUCCCCAAAUAUCGGGCUUCCCGAAUCGCCCUUUCUGAAAAAACAAGGAGAGUGGGUGAGUCUCCGAUUACUAUUACCCCAAGGGAGUCACUUGGGGCGUUCUCCUCAGUUCGAAGAGCUUCAGGGUCGGUCCCUUCAGAUAUACCCAUUGUUUUUCAUUUCAGUGGGAGACAUCCUCGAUCUCCAAUGUCUCAGGGACUUUUCCCGAGUCCUUCUCGGAUAUCCCCUUAGUUCGAGGCGGAGCCUCAUCAAUCACUAUAGAUCCAGUUGUCUUUGGGGCAUCGAUGGUUUUCUUUACUCGAGCCACCAGUAUGGAGUUGUCGUCAUUUUCUUCUUCUUCGUCUUCAUCCCUCAGACGCCGAAUAGAUUCUUUCGUCAGAGGGAUGGUGUUCUUCCUCGGCUUACGAGCCGUCUUUGUCUUAAGUUCUGGAUCUUCGGAAGCCGAGGCCCUUUUUCUCUUGUUGUCUUUUGCUAGUUUCGGAACCGGGGCCGAGGUCUCUUCCUCGCCAGAUGGCGGCCUCAUGACCGCAUCUUUGUCCAGGCCUACACACAGGAAAAUUGGUUAAGUUUAAGAAAGACAUUUUGAUCGAAUCAUCAAGAACAUAGGAAAGGGGCUUACCAUGAGUUUUGGCCUCCCAUCGGUCCUUUGAUAAAUCGUGCGUUGAGCUCUCAGCGUACGAAGAGGUCGAGGCCAGGUCCCGAACUCAGCUCUUGAGGUUAGGAAUUGCACCGGGCAUCCAAGAAACCACUACAUCACGGAAAAGGAUAUCGAUGAGAAGAAGCAAAGGGCCAAAACAAUAAAUAAGAAUUAACAGUGGAAUUAUACUUACGCUUCAUAUUCCAUUUCUCUGGAAAUGGCAUCUUCUCGGCCGGGAUUACGUUGGAAGUCCUCAUUCGAACAAACCGGCCCAUCCGGCCUCGGUCCUUGUCCUCAUCUAUGCUCGAGAAUAGCACUUUGGUGGCCCGUGACUUUUGCUCACAAAGAACAGAGCAGAAUAACAAUUCUCCAAAAAGAAGGGUGGAUUUGGCCUAGAGUUAUGUGGUACUGACGACAAAAAUCGAUGACGACGGGGUCGAGGGGGCCCAGCAUGAAAGGGUAGGUAUAAACACUUAAAAACCCUUCCACAUGGGUGGUAAUGUCUUCUUCCGGGGUCGGUAUCACCACUUCUUUGCCUUUCCAGUUGCAGUUUUUCCUUAACUGCUUAAGGUACCCUUCAGUUAUCGAGCAUAUGUACUUCGUCAUUGGCUCGCAUCGACCAGGAAUCGAUGAGGCUUUAUCAGUUUUGAAGUCAGAAGUAAUAACACACCCCCCGGGAACACACUCUUUAUGUCGUGGCUCCACCGUUGUUUUGUUGCCGGCCGGCCACGAUGAAGAAGCAUUUUCCUUUUGAGGAACAGUCUUUGAUGUUUUUGCCAUUUUUGUAUGGAUUUGAAGUUAAAAAUAGAUGAAGAUGAUAAUUUGGUGUUUUGAGAAGAUGGUAGCAGUGAAAAUCGUAGAUGUGCAUAUGAAGAGGUUAGAAGAUAUAAAAAGCUUUGAAGAUUAAGAAUCUAAAAGUAAAUGUUCGAAAUAGUGGAGAGAGGGGCUAUUUAUAAAUUUCACAACGACGGUUCAAUAUUGGCGGUGGCCGACCACUGACUGACGUUUAUUUAAUGCCUAGGAAACUAUAUAGACGGGACGUUUCAGUCACUUCUGUCGCUUAUGUCAUAAGGAUGACGUCCCGAUAGGUCGGGGUAGAAAAUCGAAGGCUCAAUUCAUUUCUUGUCAUUACACUCCAAAAUAACGAGGGGACUAUCUGUUCACGCUUAAAACCGAGCCCACCCAAUUUUACUGUUUGACCGAGACCGGGAGUUUGCAUCGAAGGACGACUCCAAAGUAGAUCGGAUCGAGGCAAGAAUACAAGGUACCAAGAUCGGGAUUCGAGGCACCUUCCAAGAUCGAGCCUACAACAAUCAAGACCGAACGAGAUAAGCGAGAUAUCCGUGACUGGUCGAAGAUCAUGGCAAAAAUCUCGGAACAGAUCAAAUCAAAAAUGGUUGUUUAGUUAAUCAUGGGAUUUACUUCUGUAAUUAGAAUUGUACCAUAUAUAGAAUUCCUCUACUAUAUAAAGGGGAGUUCUAACCAUUUGUAGGCACAACUGAUAACAAAGCAAUAUAAUUUUCUUCCUCGCUCACACUCUUGUUCUUCAAUCGGUAUUAAGUGAAAUCACGUGUCCUUAAAUCCACAUUAUAAGUUUAAUUGUUAUCCAAUUUCGAGGGUAAACAGAUCUUUAUCAUUGUUAGUUGGCCAAUUUGAUGAAGUUAACAACAUAAUUGAAUAUGCAAAGUAAGUGUUCACCAGAAGAGAACAUGUAAGCAUCAAAUGUGCGAAGGAGUUUUUAUUAAUUUAAAGUGUUGUUUCAAAGGGAACACCAAGUAAAAAUCAUGGUACAACUUUUGGCAAAAUGAGAUAUUUCAAUUGAAUGAAAGUAAAAUCCCUUAAAAUAUAAUUUAAGGAGGCAUGGAUAAAUAAAUCCACAAAAUCGUUUACAAGAAGAAAGGCGCAAAUUCUUCCCUUGUUGAUACUUCAAGCCUUGUCAUUAUAUUGACACUCUGACAAGUCUUGAAGUAGGGGCAUUUGUAGACAUGUAAAAUUUAUUUUAUUCAAAUUAAAUAAAUAAUUUAGUUUAUAUUUAACAUAUACUAGUCCAAAUAAAUUAUAGGCUAAUAUAAUUAGAUUAAUUAUUUAAAUCCAAUAAAUAUUGACUUGGAUAGCCCAUUUGAUUGGGCUACAAGUGAUGAGCCCAUUUAAUUGGGCUACAAGAGAUGAGCCCACUUAAUUAGGCCCAAGAUGUCAGCUUCCUAAAGGCCCAAUUUGAUGCCAUGUGUCAAAUGAAUGUGACACGCCAAGUCAAAUAGAAAAGCCAAUAGGAUCUUGCCACGUGUCAAAAUGAUAAGGCAUGCCAAAUUAAAUUAUAAGGCCAAUGAAACCGUGCCACAGAUGCAAGUGUAAUGACCCGGCCAGUUGUUUUGAGUAUUUUAGCCUUGAUCCCCUAUUUAUUGCCUCCUCUAUGUUGUAUUAUGGUUAUGUGACUUUUCGGGGGUGUUUGAUUUAGGUUUGGGGGAGUUACGGAGUGAAAUGGGACACAUAGUCCCUAAGUCAGUGCUUAAGUUGAAAGAGUUGACCGUAGUUUUACUUUUGUGUAGAUGACUCCAGAAUGGAGUUUUAAUGGUUCCAAUAGCUGCAUAUGGUGAUUUUGGACUUAGGAACAUGUCGAAAUAUUGAUUUGGAGGUCCGUAGGUCAUUUCGUCUUGAAUUGGCAAAAAUUAGAAAAUUCAAGGUUUGGAAGGUUAAGAAGUUUGACCGAGAGUUGAUUUCAUUGAUAUCAAGGUCAAAUUCUGAUUCCAAAAGUUGUAAUAGGUAUGUCAUGUCAUUUAUGACUUGUGUGCAAAAUUUGAGGUCGAUCGGAGUUAUUUUGGUAUGAACCGACAUUAGUUUUGGAAUUCAGAUGUUCAUAGUCUCAAUAGGCGUGAAUUGGGUUGCGAUUCAUUGAAUUGAUGUUGUUUGAUGUGAUUUUUUGCCUCGAAUAGCUCCAUUAUGUGUACUAGAACUUGUUGGUAUAUUCGAUGGGGGUCCCGGGAGCCCCGGGUGUGAUUCAGAUUGAAUCCGGAACAAAUAUUGACUUGUGUGAUUACUAAAGCAUGGUUGUGUCUGGUGCAUUCAUACCUGCGCACUUUGGGCCGAAGGUAUGACACCGUAGAAGCGGCUCUCGUAGCGCAGAAGCGAGAUUUGGCUUGUCAGCUGUGACCACAUGUUGUGUCGUUAAUUCGCAUAAGCGGACCCGCUGCUUCGGGGAAUGCAUCGCCGAAGCGGAAUGGGCUAGCCAGCCCUAGGGUCGCAAAAUUGGACCCUCCGCAGGUGCGCUUAGGGGUCCGUAGGUGCAAGUCUUCAGAGAUUAAGGUGGAACCGCACCUACGAUGGAUUUUCCGUAGGUGCAGCGUCGCAGGUGCGACCUCAUGCCCGGAGACGUGAGGAUCACUGGGCAGAAAAGGGGCCUUCGAUGGUUUGAUCUCAUUUUCCAUUUUUGGACUUAGAGAGCUCGGUUUGUGGUGAUAUUUUGAGAGCUUUUCCAGGAAAUCAUCGGGGUAAGAGAUUCUAACUUGGUUUAGGCUAUAUUACACGAAUUCAUUGUUAUUUUUGUCAUUUAAUUAGUGAUUUGAGUUGGAAAUUUGGGAAAACAUUGUGAAAACUUCUUAGACUAAAUUUUGGGAAUAUGAAAAGCGAUUUGAAGUCGGAUUUAAGUAAUUCUUAUGUGGUUGGACUCGUUAUCGAAUGGGUAUUCGGAUUUUGUAAUUUUGGCCAGGUUCCGAGACGCGGGUCCAGGGUUGACUUUUUGACUUGACUCUUUGUUUCUCUUUAAUGAUCGUAACUUUAUUGAUCGGAAUAGUUUCCUAUAGUUUAUAUUUAUGGUAUGAAGUUGUUUUGGCUAGAUUCGAGUCGUUCGGAGUUGGAUAAUCGAGGGAAAGACUUACUAGUGGAUGUAGUAGCAUAUGUUGUGGUAAGUGUCUUACCUAACUUUGUGUGGGUAAAUUACCCCUUAGGAUUGGUGUUGUUUUGUGUUAAUUGUGAUAUGUGAAAGCCGUGUACGCAAGGUGACGAGUGUGUACACGGGCUAAAUGUGGUAAUUUAUCGGUUCUAGCUAUGUAGAUUCUCUUCAUGCCUUUAAUUAAGUUACCAUAAUAUGUUAUAUUCAUCAUCUUUAGUCUAUCUUCACAUACUUUACUUGUCUUACCUCUUACUUGUUAAUUGCCUUUACAUGCCUAGUUGAAAUUAUUGUUUCCUCUAUUCCUUAUUCAUUAUUUAAUCAUUGAGUUCCUUACUUGAAGUUGUUAAUUCUUGGAAUUUCUUGUUGUUGAAAUUGGUAUUGGGCUAUAAAGGCCGUGAUUCACAUUGAGGCAAAGUUGUUAAGUUGUGAAAUAAUAUUCUUGUUGAGUUAUUCAUUUCCGAUUGUUAUUGUUGAGACUUUUGUGCAUAUUGUGGUUGAGCCCUGGGCUCUUUAAUGUGGAAACACCAUUGUUGUUGACUUCUUUGGCAAGUUGUGAUAUUGGGCACUUGAGGUGCGAUUUGUCAUACAUUGUGAUAUUGAUACGCAUGCGGCGGUAUAACGUUUGGGGUUGAAACGCAUGCGGUGAGAUAAGGUGGGCUUGAUACGCGUGUUGCUAGUAGGGGAAGUACUUGAAGCCACGCGGUAUGAUAAGGUGGGCUAAUACGCGGGAAGCUAUUUCGGGAAAAUGAUUUUCAAAACUAAAUGCAAGUCUCCCACGGUGAUAUAUGGAUAGAUUGUGAAUUGUUUUGUAAAAUGUGACUACGAGGUGGUACCUCAAUAGUGAUUUUUGUUGAUACUUUUCUAUUACUUCACUUGUGUUUUGGUUGCUUUGUUUACUUGGCAUAUCAUUCUUUGUUUUCUUCCGUGAUGCAUUAUUUGCCUUAGUUCAGUGUAACUAAUCUUGGUAUAUUUCUUUAUUGCUUCAUUUCCAUUGUUAUCAUUAUUACACUAUUAUAUAUACCUGUUCAGUUUCUUAUUUAUUCCAGUGGGGCCUUGAUCUGACCUCGUCACUACUCUACCGAGGUUAGGCUUGGCACUUAUUAGGUACCAUUGUUGUGUACUCAUUCUAUGCUUCUACACAUCAUUUUUUUGCAGAUACAGGUACUUCCUACUAGCCCAGGCACAAGUCAGACAAGCUCAGCUUCGGAGAGUCCGCAGGCCUCAGAGUCACCCUCUAUCUAGUUUACUUCAUUUUCUUUCCCUUUCAUAGACACUGUUGUAUAGGGAUGAUCAGUAUUUAUUCGUAGAGCUUGUGACUUGUUAUCACCAGAUUUUGGGAAGUUUUGUUAUGCUGAGUUGAGAAGUUUCUUUUAUGAUAGUUGUUGAGAAUUUGAGAG